GAUGAACGCUAGCGGGAGGCCUAACACAUGCAAGCCGAGCGGUAGAGUCUCUUCGGAGACUUGAGAGCGGCGCACGGGUGCGGAACACGUGUGCAACCUGCCUUUAUCUGGGGGAUAGCCUUUCGAAAGGAAGAUUAAUACCCCAUAAUAUACUGGAUGGCAUCAUCUGGUAUUGAAAACUCCGGUGGAUAGAGAUGGGCACGCGCAAGAUUAGAUAGUUGGUGAGGUAACGGCUCACCAAGUCAGCGAUCUUUAGGGGGCCUGAGAGGGUGAUCCCCCACACUGGUACUGAGACACGGACCAGACUCCUACGGGAGGCAGCAGUGAGGAAUAUUGGACAAUGGGUGAGAGCCUGAUCCAGCCAUCCCGCGUGAAGGACGACGGCCCUAUGGGUUGUAAACUUCUUUUGUAUAGGGAUAAACCUAGAUACGCGUAUCUAGCUGAAGGUACUAUACGAAUAAGCACCGGCUAACUCCGUG
RNAcentral lists this ribosomal RNA (479 nucleotides) under uncultured bacterium. Its description in RNAcentral is "partial 16S ribosomal RNA". It matches the Rfam family "Bacterial small subunit ribosomal RNA", at positions 28 to 507 of the family's 1533-position model. The record is from RNAcentral.